CCUACGGGAGGCAGCAGUGGGGAAUAUUGCACAAUGGGGGAAACCCUGAUGCAGCGACGCCGCGUGAGUGAAGACGUAUUUCGGUAUGUAAAGCUCUAUCAGCAGGGAAGAAGAAAGACGGUACCUGACUAAGAAGCCCCGGCUAACUACGUGACAGCAGCCGCGGUAAUACGUAGGGGGCAAGCGUUAUCCGGAUUUACUGGGUGUAAAGGGAGCGUAGACGGCUGUGCAAGUCCGAAGGGAAAGCCCAGGGUUCAACCCUGGGACUGCUUUGGAAACUGGGGAGCUAGAGUGCUGGAGAGGUAAGUGGAAUUCCUAGUGUAGCGGUGAAAUGCGUAGAUAUUAGGAGGAACACCAGUGGCGAAGGCGGCUUACUGGACAGUAACUGACGUUGAGGCUCGAAAGCGUGGGGAGCGAACAGGAUUAGAUACCCGAGUAGUC
RNAcentral lists this ribosomal RNA (441 nucleotides) under uncultured bacterium. RNAcentral's name for it is "partial 16S ribosomal RNA". It matches the Rfam family "Bacterial small subunit ribosomal RNA", at positions 338 to 795 of the family's 1533-position model. The record is from RNAcentral.